This 96-nucleotide non-coding RNA is filed under the name Oscillibacter sp. 1-3. Its description in RNAcentral is "Purine riboswitch aptamer". It matches the Rfam family "Purine riboswitch aptamer". From Rfam's summary of the family: Riboswitches are metabolite binding domains within certain messenger RNAs that serve as precision sensors for their corresponding targets. RNAcentral also lists the same sequence under 1 other name. The record is from Rfam by way of RNAcentral. Lineage: Bacteria; Bacillati; Bacillota; Clostridia; Eubacteriales; Oscillospiraceae.
CUGUUAGCGUACAUACUGGCUUGUAUAAGUUCAUGAUUGGAUGAGCGUUUCUACCAACUGCCGUAACAGUUGACUACAAGUUUUUGGGCUUGGCCC